Molecule: long non-coding RNA, 8701 nt
Organism: Alexandromys fortis (reed vole)
Lineage: Eukaryota; Metazoa; Chordata; Mammalia; Rodentia; Cricetidae
Exons: 2
Source: RefSeq, a predicted model, not a curated record
CCCAAGCACGUCACAGUUUAACUCUGAAAGUGGGUGUGCAAGCAACCUUAGAGCUGUUCGCAAGUUCUACCAUGGGGACCUUUAAAGAGCUGGAGAAGCGGCUGAAGAGGAAGGGCCAGGGUUUCCGAUCAGGAUCACCAAACCCAAGACCCGACAAAUGGAGGGCUUCCAAACAGGAGGGCACACAGGACCAUUUCCUCACACACAGUGAGGAGACAGGCUUUGUUGUGUGGCCUCUCACUCUUCUCUGGAGGAUCUCUACGGACAAGGAGGAUUUGGCCAGUGCGUGACAUUCCCAGUGAGUGGUCUUGGAUCACAGCAUCUGCUACCUUUGGAAACCUUUGUUCUUUGUUUGAAAACAUCUUUGGGGGGCACCAUAAACUUCUAUUGUCCGCUUACCCCUGAUUAUGAAGAACCUGAUGGACAAGUUUGGAGAGGAUAGAAAAUAAAGCUUGUAAUCAGUGCAAGCCUGGAGUCUUAAGCAAGUUGAUUCGGACACUGUGGGGAACUUGCUUCUAUCAUGAUUUUGCCCAGAGCAAAAACUAGUCUUGGUGAUUAAAAAAAAAAGUAAACCAAUAAAUUAAUCAUCGUGGAAAUAAGGGGCAAGCAGAAAAGACCUGAGAUUAUCUGGCGUGCAUUAUGUAAACAUGUUCCAUAGCUGUAAGAGUGAAAGGCCUGGCCUCUGCUAUCCUGAUUGACUCUCCGGGAAGAGAGGAUGUUGACAUGCUUCAUCUGUGCCUCACACAGUCAUUCCUCCUUCAUUAUUAAUGUCGGUUGAUGGGGAUCGGAGCUCAUCCGUACAUAGCCUGAACUUGACCGAGCAAGGGAUUGCUAAAUCCUUUCCUAUAACCAGCCUUAGUGUGCUGUUCCCAGGAAGAAAGACCUUGCUGGGUGGAACGCCUGAAUCCAGGUGAUUUUUCAAACCCCAGAGGUAAAAAGUAAAGGUGGCACACUUCAAAAACAGAAAAAGAAAGAUGGAUGAAGGGAGGAGGGCAGGAGAAAAGGAACGGCUCAGUUUCUCCCCUUUUUGCCAUCAGAAAGUAUGCUUAUACUUGCCUUGUCAUUACAUCAAAUGGCCAGGGGCAGAUAAAGCUCUGAAACCUGCUCGGGAUGGGAUGGCAGAAGACAACAGGUCACCCAGGUAACUGCAGGGAUUGCUGGCAGCAGACCCUCCCACAGCCCCAACUGCCAGGGACAAGGAAGCUUAUUUUUCUCUUAUGCGUCAAAGAGAGGAGCAGACGUGUGCUAUCAUGAGAUUAACACAUAUGCUGAAACCUUCAUCCCCAAGGAGAUGGCGUGAGUAGGUGGGGGUCUCUGGGGGUUAAUAUGAUCACAAAGAGGGAGCCUUGGGACAGGACCGGUGCCUUUAGGAGAGAGAAUCCAGGUUUCCUCCUCUCUCACAGACUCUGAGAAAGCAGCAACAUGACAGCAUCUGGAAAUCAGGAAGCAGCCCUCACAAAAGCCAGAUUUGGUAACCACUGGACCCUGAACUCGGCCUCCAGAACAUUGAAGGAUGCAUUUCUGUUAUCUCUGAGCCAGUUUCAGUGUUUUGUUACAGCAGCUCAAAUGGACUAAGACAGGCAAAAUUACACACUGGCACAGAGUAAUAAUCUUACAUUCCAGACCCUUAUUUCCAAAGAGCAACGACGCAGGAAAGGGUCUCUUAUCAUUCCUGGGAUGCAAAUAUUUAGGAAGGUGAAUACAUUCACACUUAUAGGAGGAAUUUUAGUUUAAGAACACCAGUACAAGCUUCCUAUGUAACCUAGCCCCUCUUUAAACAGCUGAAAACUCUGUAAGCCAAAAGUUGCCAUCGUUCAGAAGACUUUUAGGAAAGCCAUUUAGGGAUGAGUGUAUCAGAGGGAAUUCUUAUCAUUUUCCUGGCACACAUGUCUUCAAAUUGGCUCUUUCAAAGGACUGAUAUUAUUUUAUGUUAUUGGCAACUGAUUCAUUUCUAAAAUGCUGACUUGGACCUUGAAACAAUCUGGUCAUCAGCUCCUGGACCAGGGUCAUAUGUUCUUAGAAGAAAAGACUGAAGGUGGGUGGGAGAUUUAAAAGCAAAGGCAGGCUUCCUCUUCCGGUGUUUCUCCUGGAAAAGACCGAUGAGGUGUGUGGAAAGGGGAACAUAGAAAGAUAAAGGGAUAGGGCUGGAGCUGGCUCAGUAGUUAAGAACAACUCUUGCUCCUGUAGAGGACCCAUGUUCAAUUCCCAGGACUAAUAUAAAGCAGCUCACAAUUGCCUGUUUCUCCAGUUCCAAAGCCCUUUCCUGACUCCUGUAAGCACCUGUACUCAAGUUCACCUACCCAAACAUACACAUAAUUAAAAAUAAUAAAAAUAAAGGUUAUUUUGUAGAAAGUUGUGGAGACCUGGGAAAACAAGGUAUCAAGGACGUGGACCAACUGUUGAGACUCGUGUAUCUCUCAGCAUCCUGGAUCCAUCUGGUCAAAGUACUCUUUUUGACCCUCUCUCUAUCUCCCUUGAAAGUAGAGAAUUAUGUCCAUAAUUCCUGGUGCCACCUCCUGUUUGCUGCACAUGCCUUACGAACUAUUGCAGCCCUUGGAUGCAGUUCUACAAUCUCCCCUCUUCCCUGCUGCCUUGUCUCAUUGCUUGCUCUACCCACCUUUGCCCACCUUCCAGCCAAAGACUCAGACAUGGAAUAUGAUUAUAUCCCUUUUUGUGUUUCUCCUCUGCACAGCCCCUCUUGAAGUCUUCCAUCCAAGACCACAUCCAGGGGCCAGGGUGCGAGGGCCAUUGUGGUCUUGGCCUGCCUUGCUAGUGGGGAGACCAAUGUAACGUAUAGCACUGUAGGGGUCAGCAUUGUCCAGCAGGCCACCACUUACCUCCACACUUCCUUUCCUUGCGUCACCAUCUUUUCCUCCCCCAAAGGCACCAGCUGCUUCCAACUUCCAGUCUAGAAGCCUCUGGUGCAGGGGAGGUCUCCCUCUGCUCACACUGAGGUCAGUUAACACUAUUUCCACUCCAGGAGUGUUUAUCCCACCCCAACUAUAUAUAAAGGAAAACACACACACACGUGUUAUUAAAAUGAACUGUUUAUAUUAUCUCAGUUGAGUCAAUACAUUAUAAUGUAUUAAAAUGGAAAGGUACAAAAUUGAAAUAAAUACUUUCUGAUUCAUGUAUAAAUCUUUUUUUUUGUCAAGAUGACUUUUAUCAUCAGUACAUGUCACAAGAAAACAUUUAAAAUGACACCAAAACAAUCUCUGAAAUCAUGGUGCACGGAGGAAAAAGGUAAAGAAAACAACUGUUGGCUUGUUUUGGCAUGAGACCUUGAUACAAUUUGGGUUCCCCAAAACCACGUGAAGGGUGAUAAAAUAGAAAUGCUCAAAACUGACUUAAAAAAAUAAACAGGCUUUACAAAAAUCCUCUUUUUUUUUUCUGAACCCAGCCACUUCUCUACAUGGUCUGCACUUACAGUAGAUACAUUCAUUAUUGUCCAAGGGAAGACAGCCGCUGCCUUUCACUUAAAGAGCUUGGUGGAGAGGCUGAAGGGGGAUGUUGCAGCUGAAGGUGAGUAGAAUGUUCCAGAGAACAGAAAAGUCUAGAUGGUCUUCAGGAACAGCACUGAGCAUGAUGGGGUGAAGGGUCUCUGGGCGAGAGGUGGAGGCGGAGGGCAGGGAGGAGUCCAGUUCUCAAGCAGUGGAGGCCAAAGGACGGAGUAGGGUUGGUUUGUAGCUACCAUGGGCAUUGGGGAUCUCUCAGCCUGAGCAGUCCUGGGUUUGUCCUCAGCCUGGGAACACUGCUCUGUUAGUGAGGGGGGGGGGAGGUCCUGGGCUUUGGAGAGGGAGUGUGGUUGCCUUUCAGGCACAGCAGCGUCGGGGAGACAAGCAGGCUUCCAAGGUAUACCAUGGGAGGGACUUCUCGCCUGGUUCUGACUGUUUGGUAGGUGGUCAUUAAGGCAAUAAGGACUUUAGCAAACUAGAAGUUAAGGACAGCUAAGUUCAGCCAGAUCAAAGGUAAACGAAAGGUGAGAAGGGGGCCCUUUCUCCUCAGUUACUUUCCCCAAGCCAGCAAGCCUCAGCUCCUGGAGCACAGAUUUACAGUACGCAAUAGCAGAGGGCUUGCCCUUUGGGAGGCUCCACGGGAAGAAGGCUCGUCCAAGACUUGGGGCAACUUAAGCAGUCUCUACCCUCCGAACUGUUUCCUGUGGUCAUAUUCUGGUGAGUGGCAGGUGGAAGCACCAAGGUUCAUGCAGAAGUUAGGCCAAGACCCUGGCUCGCAUCUUGCUGGUCCAUCUCAUUGGCCUUGAACACCUCACAACCUGGAAAACCAGGCCAGAUGCUUGCAUGCACCGUGAGACCUACACUCAACUGGAGAGAGGGCAAGAAUCUCAGGGGUCCAGAGGGCACCUUCCCCUGAGCAGAUGACAGGAUAGUGAUAAAGGCUAUGGAACUAUGAGGUCCCACGUGGCCUCUGGGGAGCAGAGAAAAGCUCUUGUGAAUUGAAUCUAUUCUGAAGGAGACAUGCAGAUGAUAAAGGAGAGCAGAACUACCCUCUUCCUCCAUGCUCUGGACAAAGCAGUUACCUUGCAAUGCUAUGGGGAAGGUAACCUCAAACGGCUAUUUGUUCUUUGGGGCUGACUUCUGACAAGACUGCUGAGACUCCGGAGUGGAAGAAGAGGAUCUGGGACCAUUUCUGCCAAAGCGCACAACUAGCUAUCCCUGCAGAAGAACCAAGUAUGAUCCGGGUAAAGCAGAUAGAAUCAAUCCCCUCCAUCCUCCAGCCUGAGAUAACAGGCCAGAAAAGCUCUUUUUGAGAUGCCUGGGACCUGCAGGUAUAGCAACUUAGAGAUGCUAGACUCAAAUUAUUCAGGAGCCUUCUAAGGGACCUUGGUGGGGAUGAGACCUUUGCAAGAGGAAACACUCUAAUGGCCAGCUGUCUGGAGCUACAUCCCUGUCUAGUUCCUCCGGUGGAAGCUGUCUUAUUUAGGCCCUAAGAAGAGUAGGUAACAGGACCGUAAGAAUUCUAACAAUAAGCCAAUGACAAAAACGUAUGACAAGCAUGCUCUAGGGAUAUGGACAAAACAAGAUUGGUGGCAAGUAAAGUGAUCAGUGCUAAAGAGGACUGGUGGAUGACUUCCUUGUCGAGUCCUACUUUAGUGCCUGAUUAAACUUAUCCUGUACGUGAUACAUAGUACAAAACAAAUACUUUAAGAAGUGACCUAGCUUACACCUUCCUUUCCCUGACAGAAUACCCAAAGCCACUGGGAAUGGGCUCUGUAGAGCUAGAAUCCAGCCAUAUUUCUACAGCCACUGAGACUGCAGUCACCUUUAUAGUCUUUAAUUGAAGCCUACUCUCUGGCUUUGCGUUUACCAUGUUGAAAGGCAGGCAACAUUCUUCAGAACUGCCAAUGAGCCUCGGGAGCAUAGUGUUCAUGGCAGGCACCUUGUUGCUUUGCAAGGCUUGCAAGGCAUCCUUCUGGGGAGACCUGGCUUCCACAUAGCUCAGGGGAGCAGCAGCCCUGGGCUGGAGUUCUACUGUGAGCAGCGGCUGGUGUGUGGCCUCAGCUGCUCACUAAGUAAUGCACUCACCAGCCCUGCCUAUUCUUGGAAGAGUUUAAGAAUUCCAGGAAGAGCCGGGUGGUGGUGGCACACGCCUUUAAUCCCAGCACUCGGGGAGGCAGAGGCAGGCGGAUCUCUGUGAGUUGGAGGCCAGCCUGGUCUACAAGAGCUAGUUCCAGGACAGGCUCCAAAACCACAGAGAAACCCUGUCUCAAAAAUCAAAAAAAAAUAGAAAAGAAAAAGAAAAAGAAAAUACCAGGAAGAUAGGAGCUGUUCUAACGGUUCAGGAAAAGACUGGAAGGGUUCUCUAUACAAGCAUGACAGACGCUUACAACACAUCAUAAGGUGCACAGGCAAGAGUCUGUGCCCAGGAUAGUGAGACUGAAAGAAUGCUUGCAAAUUCGAUUGUGUUACCUGCUUUGUUAAAGUAAAGAGAAGCUAAUGAUAAUUGUUAUUACCAAUAUCAAGCACAUUAGUUUUAGGGCGUAUGGUCCUAAUAUGGAGUGAUGGCAGCUCCUUUUCUUGAUGAAAAAGGUUGGAUAUGUGGCUUACUGGCCAUCUUAGAUUCACCUUUCUCCCAGAGAACCACAAGGGGGUGUUCUAGAGCCAUAGAAGUCAAGGAAGAACCUUGAACCUUAACAUCUGACCCACACCUCGCAGGGGAUUGGGGCACAUCUCUUUCCAGAGAAGACCACUAGGAUGUCCAGGAUCCUUUCUGGUUCUCUUCAGAUGAUUGGUUGGGGACAGGAAGUAGCCCAUUGGGAGUAGGCUAAGAUAGAAGUUCUUUAAAGGUAUAAAGUCCUUUAAAAAAUCACCAACUCAGAAAUUUGAUCUCUUUUAAGAAACAUCCCUCAAUCUAACUGGAAUCAAAAACAUUUUUCCAUGUAAGAAGAAGAAAAAAAAAAGCCUUUUAAGACCUGGAGGCUUCUUGGUCUUUAUCAGUGAUGAUUCAGGAAAAAUCAAAGGGCCUCAGCAGCAGGCUGUGGACUCUGUUCUAAAAAUUCAAACAAAAGCAUGUUCUAGAGUAGAUCUUUGCAUGAUUGAGGGAUAAAUCUCAAGUGUCCUCCAGACCAAAAAAAAAAAAAAAAAAACCACAGAAGAAUGGUACACCAAGCUCCUUUAAAAAGGAAAGAAAGGCCUGAGGAUAUUGUCACUGUUGUGGAAAUGACACCCAUAAAAGUCCUUGAAACUGCCAUUUCACACAAGGAAAAUACCUAAUGGCUUCUGGUGGCUCCGCGGAGAUAAAAAUUGACAGAGAGAUGUGCAGUGAAUAAACAGGGAGAAUUUAAAGUAAACAUGAAGACUUGUUUGGAUCAGAGGCCAUGGCUUCCUGAGAAACACUAUUUAAAAAAAAAGUUUUAGAAUGUUCUUUCUGGAAUGAAUGGAAGCCUCUGGGAUGGAAACAACCUUGAGGAGGUCAUGGGGGGGGGGCUCAAGGAUGGGGAGUUAGAUGGACAGUUGGACUACUGUGUAUAUUAAGGAAAACUCAGAGCCCAUCCCAGCAGGAGAGUAGGAAGGGCAGGACAAAGGUAGAGAAUCCACUGUUAUUUCUAUCCAGUGCCUCUUAAAAACACAGGUGAAGAGGAGAUCUGCUCAUUUCCUGUCCCACACACUAACCUUCCUCACUUGGCUCACGCAGGCCUGGGAAAGUGGAAUGGGAACUGUGCAUUCCCAUCAACCAUGGUCAUGAAAGAUAUUUAGGGAUGUCAAGCAUGGUGGUUGGGGACAUACCACACAGCUUUCAUAAAUUUAAAGGGGUACUCUGAGCUUGUGGUUCUAUGUCAGAGAUGAACAAAGUGGCUCCAUCAGUUCUGCAGAGUUCCCUUUGUUCGUUAUUUCUUUCCUCUAGGCAUGGGUUGCCUCAUCUGUGGAAGGAGGACACUGGGUCCUCAGGGCUCUUGGGGCCUCUCUGGUGUUCAGGGUCUGCAGUCCCAGAGAUGCUGUCAGAUGAAACAGACAAGAGUAAGGUCUGAAUUCUACAGCCUUGCACCCAGAGAGAGUGAGCUUGCUCCUGACAAGUAGCAACUCACUGUUGUCCCCAUAGCCUCCCGGAGACUAGAGAGCGACAUCCUCAGCACACUGGUACUGCUCCCCUUGAGUCCUGGCCACAGAGAGCCUGCAAGAGAGGAACAAUGCUGCAACGGAUGUGUGGUUCCUCUGCAGACAGCCUUGACUUUGAGGAAAAGGAAAAAAUGCACUCAGUGCAUUCUGGAAAAUGCCCCCUGCAGCUGACAACAACGUGACACACAUAUACGCCACUGAGGACGUACGUGCCCAUGAGGAAGAAGAUGCCUGUGGAGUAUUCUGAGUUCUUAAUUCUGAGGAGGGGAGGCAGAGACAGCCAAGAACUUCCUUUGACUCAGCUGGCCAUUGGACAGAUGGUUAUCUCCAAAACCAAUGAGCUCCAGGAUCUUGGAAACCUAUGACCUCAGCUUGGGAAAGAAGAAGAAGCUUGAUUGCAGAGAGGUGAAGUGGUCUGCCCCGAGACAAAUAAGUGUCUGAGAAACACAGAUCCUGGGCUAAACACCACAAAGGUGCUAAUACCAACUGUACAUGUUGGAUCCCAGCAAGGGGAGGGGCUGUCUGUCAGAGUCUGGGGUGGGGAAAGAUAGGAUAACAAACUGCUAGGCUAGCGUACCAGGGAAUAAACCAGCCACAGAUGCAGACUUGGCAAAGAGAAGAUAGGACUUCAGGACAAGGACUCAAUUCCCUUGACAAGAGAUAAUGCCUAGCUAUUCUCCUCCCUCUAAUCCAUGUGGGAACCAUCCUGUCAAUAUCCUGUUUAAAACAUGUCUUCCCCCUGAGCAAGUCCAGGUGUCCUGAGAUGGGGUGGGGGUGUCUCAUAGUCUAUCUCCAAACAGCAAUUCAGUCUCGCAGGUAGCCUAGGACCCAUCUUUGCUUUAAGUGCACUGAAGACCCAGGAAAAGGCAACUGUCUCCCUUUCUGUCGUCACCCUCCUGAUGUGUCAUAUACGAAGAAACAGAGGCAUAACAAGGUCACCAGUUUUUCUACAGUCUUUCAUGUGGUGCCACUACAGUCUGGAAAGCUGGGCAUCUCUCUUUCUGAAUCCUGCAACAUCUUUCUGAACCCUCAACAUCUCCCAUUGCCUGUCCACCCAACUCAACAUUUAUUGCCUGUCUAUCUACAAUAUAUGUACUCUUGUGUAUAAAAUAUAAAUAAUUCUUAGA